UACGUAGGGAGCAAGCGUUGUCCGGAAUCAUUGGGCGUAAAGCGCGCGUAGGUGGCCACAUAAGUCCGUUGUGAAAGUCAAAGGCUCAACCUUUGAAAGCGGGUGGAUACUGUCGGGCUAGAGUCCGGAAGAGGCGAGUGGAAUUCCUGGUGUAGCGGUGGAAUGCGCAGAUAUCAGGAGGAACACCAACGGCGAAGGCAGCUCGCUGGGACGGUACUGACACUAAGGCGCGAAAGCGUGGGGAGCGAACAGG
RNAcentral lists this ribosomal RNA (253 nucleotides) under uncultured bacterium. RNAcentral's name for it is "partial 16S ribosomal RNA". It matches the Rfam family "Bacterial small subunit ribosomal RNA", at positions 524 to 776 of the family's 1533-position model. The record is from RNAcentral.